CGUGCGGGGUACAAGGACAAUGGGUGAAAGCGCGGUUCCAGCGGGAUCACAAUGGCAGUAUGACAAGGUCAGCUCGGAGGUUUCGCCUGGCUCAGCAGAGACCUGCGGAGCUGCUCAGCUGACGGGGCUCUUUGCUUGUUCGAGGCGCUCUAUCUCAAAGGGGCCCCGGUGACGGAGUCAUUCACAAGCAAGGGCCAUAAAUGGCCGAGUUGAACGCCGCAUUGAGCACUGCAUUCUCAGGAAUCAGACCUGACUGGAGCACAGCCAAAAUGCCUGGAACAAAAGGUAAUAAGUCGGACAAGAAGUCAGCUACCAAGCAACCUCAGAGUCCUAAAGAGCAGCCGAAGAAAGCUGAGCCGAAAGGAGAUGAUACCAAAAAGCAAGGAGCAGGACAGCCGAAGGGAGAGAAGCAAUAACUUCCAGGCGUUUGUGAAGAUGGCUUUGGAGACACUGCUGGGGUCCUGUCGCCGCAAACACGGCAGCUCCCGGGGCAAACAGGGCUGAGCGCACGUCUCCCAUCGCACGUCUCCCAUCGCACUCAACCUGAACCUGAACCUGCAGGCUGGGCGGUUGUGUGGCCUUCCAAACCAGCGUCUGGUUCACCUCUCGCGGAGAAAUAAAAGUGGACCUGAUUUCCAUCCAUCCCCGUCUGCUGUUUAAACCCUCCCCGGCCCUCUUCCCCACGCAGGCUUAUCGGAUGCUCAGAAAUAGACUCCAGGUUAAACCGGACCAUUGCUGCGAGCAACAACAACAACAACAACAACAACAAAAAAUGUUGUUAUCCCUUUGCAAUCCUCCCUGAACUCGCCUUCAUAUCACAAUCGACUGUCUAACGGUCCUUCUUGUAAAUAAUAACGAUGCAAAUAAACAACUAUUUCUUACAGCA
Gasterosteus aculeatus aculeatus (three-spined stickleback) is the source of this 886-nucleotide long non-coding RNA. RefSeq lists it as uncharacterized. The record is from RefSeq and is a predicted model, not a curated record. Lineage: Eukaryota; Metazoa; Chordata; Actinopteri; Perciformes; Gasterosteidae.